GACGAACGCUGGCGGCGUGCCUAAUACAUGCAAGUCGAGCGAAGUUUUUCUGGUGCUUGCACCGGAAAAACUUAGCGGCGAACGGGUGAGUAACACGUAAAGAACCUGCCUCAUAGACUGGGACAACUAUUGGAAACGAUAGCUAAUACUGGAUAACAGCAUUAACUGCAUGGUUGAUGUUUAAAAGUUGGUUUUGCUAACACUAUGAGAUGGCUUUGCGGUGCAUUAGCUAGUUGGUGGGGUAAAGGCCUACCAAGGCGACGAUGCAUAGCCGACCUGAGAGGGUGAUCGGCCACACUGGGACUGAGACACGGCCCAGACUCCUACGGGAGGCAGCAGUAGGGAAUCUUCCGCAAUGGGCGAAAGCCUGACGGAGCAACGCCGCGUGAGUGAAGAAGGAUUUCGGUUCGUAAAGCUCUGUUGUUAGGGAAGAAUGAUUGUGUAGUAACUAUACACA
Molecule: ribosomal RNA, 457 nt
Filed under: Gemella haemolysans
Lineage: Bacteria; Bacillati; Bacillota; Bacilli; Caryophanales; Gemellaceae
Description: bacterial SSU rRNA
Rfam family: Bacterial small subunit ribosomal RNA
Source: RNAcentral